CAGGCCGCGGGAAUACGUAGGGUGCGAGCGUUGUCCGGAAUUAUUGGGCGUAAAGAGCUUGUAGGCGGUCUGUCGCGUCUGCUGUGAAAACCCGAGGCUCAACCUCGGGCCUGCAGUGGGUACGGGCAGACUAGAGUGCGGUAGGGGAGAACGGAACUCCUGGUGUAGCGGUGGAAUGCGCAGAUAUCAGGAAGAACACCGAUGGCGAAGGCAGUUCUCUGGGCCGUAACUGACGCUGAGAAGCGAAAGCGUGGGGAGCGAACAGGAUUAGAUACCCCUGUAGUCCCUGUCUCUUAUACAA
Molecule: ribosomal RNA, 301 nt
Filed under: uncultured bacterium
Lineage: Bacteria
Description: partial 16S ribosomal RNA
Rfam family: Bacterial small subunit ribosomal RNA
Source: RNAcentral